UACGUAGGGUGCGAGCGUUGUCCGGAAUUAUUGGGCGUAAAGAGCUUGUAGGCGGUUUGUCGCGUCUGCUGUGAAAAUCCGGGGCUCAACCCCGGACUUGCAGUGGGUACGGGCAGACUGGAGUGUGGUAGGGGAGACUGGAAUUCCUGGUGUAGCGGUGGAAUGCGCAGAUAUCAGGAGGAACACCAAUGGCGAAGGCAGAUCUCUGGGCCGUAACUGACGCUGAGGAGCGAAAGCAUGGGGAGCGAACAGG
RNAcentral lists this ribosomal RNA (253 nucleotides) under uncultured bacterium. RNAcentral describes it as "partial 16S ribosomal RNA". It matches the Rfam family "Bacterial small subunit ribosomal RNA", at positions 524 to 776 of the family's 1533-position model. The record is from RNAcentral.